UUGCGCUCUGUAAGGUCAUGACCUGUGUGUGCGGAAAAAGCCUAAAAUGAGCCUGGUUUAAGAGCUACCACAGGUGCUGGACUCUUCUAGAAAACCUGUCGCGUCUGUUUGGUCUCCUUUAUAACACCGUUAACUGGUUGGAAUAUACCAAUAAAUAUGCUGUUACUGCUCAAACAAACCACUUCCUUGUGUUGCCAUCUUCAAUCAAAAUGUAGACUGCUAUAGCUGGGGAGGAUGAAGAUUUAGCACCACACACUAUCUUCUUAUCUUCCCAUUCUGCUUUCAACAUAAACCAGAGACGAUUAGGAACACAGCUGAAAGCAAGUUAAAUUUAUUAUUUUCUGCAACAAAGAAGACCCUACAUCAUAGAGA
This is a long non-coding RNA of Prionailurus viverrinus (fishing cat), 372 nucleotides long. RefSeq lists it as uncharacterized. Lineage: Eukaryota; Metazoa; Chordata; Mammalia; Carnivora; Felidae. The transcript has 3 exons. The record is from RefSeq and is a predicted model, not a curated record.